AGACAGGUAAACAGUAUGGGAGUCAUUCCAUAGUUCAAGUGAACUCCUUGACUCUCCCAUUAAAUUUAACCUUUGCCAUACUUAAAAGACUGGACAACGAAAUUAUUCUAGAUGACUCUGUGAACUUGUCUCUUGUUGACCAGCAUCUCAUUCAAAAAAUCUUACUGGCUUCAGAGGAAGUAGAAAAGAACAUUAGAAAGGACUCUGGCAAAAUCAAGAUUAUACUACAGUUGGCAUGUGAUGGCUCACUGUCAUAAUCCCAGCAAUUAGGAGCCAGAGACACGAUUCCUGAAGCAAAUUUCUGUCCAGCAUAGUCUAAUAUAGUGGGUUUCAGGCAAGUCUGAAAAAGUCGAGUCUCAAAUAUAUAUAUUUAUAUGUAUAUAUAUGCAAAUAAAAUUAUGCUAUAAGAUAAAGGAGAAAAAUUCACCCAAGCGUGGUGGUCCACCACUGCAAUCCCAGUACUCAGCACAUGGAGCCAGGUAGACUGGGAGUUUGAAAUGAGCAUAAGCUACUUACCUAAUCCUGUCUUAAAAUAAACAACAAUAACCAAGAAAAAAAGAAAAAUUACACAUUUUCUUUACAAGUAUAGUUACAUAUUCUUUGCAAUGGACACAUAAAGGUCAGUUGCUCUUUCACAAACACUAAUGAGCAAUGGUUCACAUUUAAAUCAGUAAGAAGCUCAAAAGCCCAACAGUCAAGUGGUCCUCUGAAGCUUUUCACUCUAGACCAAGGAUUCCAGUGGGCAAAUGAGGAAAAACUCACAGUUUGUACAAUUCUAACCUAGAAAUAACAAUUUGAGCUGUAACUGACCCUUUCUAUUUCUGUUCACCAGAGAAACAACUGAAAUCAAUUAUCCUGAACUCUAACCUUUCUAUAAAACAAGAAAUGCCAAGACUAAAAACAAGCAGUACAGAAAAUGUCAGAGGAACAAACACUGUGAGAUGACAAGAUGCUCUUGGGAAAAGGCACAAAUGACCAAGAAAUUUCCAUGAACAGCUGAUGUGUAUUCAGGAUCUGGCAAUCACAAAGCCUGCUGUGAAGAGCCUCUGGAGCAGAUACUGAGGGUUAACAAGAAUCCUGGACAUUCAAGUGCAACCCAGCUUGAGCAAUCUCUCCUGAGGCCCUUGACUACUCUCUACCUCAUUCCCUCACAGUGUGGAAGCUGGCUAUCUCCAAAUUGAGACAGCUGCCAUGUCCUCCCUGUGUCCUGUCACCUCUGGCUUCUGUAAGGCUAAACAAGUCCAGUUUCUGCUCCCUGUCUUCAUGUGACCCAGUGCUGGUAUUCCUCACUCUGCUCAGGAUACUCUGCCUGUACUGUUACUUUUCUGACCAAAAGUUAUAGAGUUUAUAGAGGAUAGAGUUUAUUUUGACUUAUGGUUCCAGAUAGAUAAGAGUCCAUCACAGAGGAGAGGCAUGGCAGGAGGAGCAGGAGACUGAGAGAUCACAUCUUCGACUGCAAACAAGCAAAGACAGAGCAAACUGAAAGUGGGGGACUAUGAACCCUCAAAGCCUUUUCACAGUGACAUACUUCCUCCAACAAGCCAGUAUGUUCUAAACCUCCCCAAACAGCACCACCAACUGGAGACCAAGUAGUCAAACGCCUGAGCCUGUGGAAAACACUUCUCAUUCAAACCACCACACUGCCUAAGUCAGGUCAGCCAAUGCUCCUACUAAGGGGAGCCAGCAAGAUCAGGACACAGGUGUUGGGGGACCCUGCUGCUAAGGUUGCAGUCCCCCAUGCCAGAUAGCUCUAAGGAGCU
This is a long non-coding RNA of Nannospalax galili (Upper Galilee mountains blind mole rat), 1760 nucleotides long. RefSeq lists it as uncharacterized. The record is from RefSeq and is a predicted model, not a curated record. Lineage: Eukaryota; Metazoa; Chordata; Mammalia; Rodentia; Spalacidae. The transcript has 3 exons.